GACCCUCGAGGCCUGUUCCAGAAACACCAGGAAGAGGAGCUGGAAGAGAGAAGGAAGUUGUACCGGUGGGGAAACUUGAAGGAUGGGUUAAUUCUGAAUGUGGCUGGGGCAAAACUAUGUGACCUCCCUGUGGAUGAGCAAUUUCUGGAAGACAAGAGUGUUGACUUUAAGGUUUCGCUGGCCAAAGGAGCGCGUGCGGGACUCCUGGAAGGAAGAUGCCUUAUUUGGGUACCAGUUUCUUAAUGGCGCCAACCCCGUGGUGCUGAGGCGCUCUGCUCACCUUCCUGCUCGCCUAGUGUUCCCUCCAGGCAUGGAGGAACUGCAGGCCCAGCUGGAGAAGGAGCUGGAGGGAGGCACAUUGUUCGAAGCUGACUUCUCCCUGCUGGAUGGGAUCAAGGCCAACGUCAGUCUCUGUAGCCAGCAGCACCUGGCUGCCCCUCUGGUCAUGCUGAAACUGCAGCCUGAUGGGAAACUCUUGCCCA
This 482-nucleotide long non-coding RNA is filed under the name Homo sapiens (human). Its description in RNAcentral is "novel transcript". Lineage: Eukaryota; Metazoa; Chordata; Mammalia; Primates; Hominidae. The record is from RNAcentral.